GAUGAAGAACGUAGCGAAAUGCGAUAAGUAAUGUGAAUUGCAGAAUUCAGUGAAUCAUCGAAUCUUUGAACGCACAUUGCGCCCGCUAGUAUUCUGGCGGGCAUGCCUGUCCGAGCGUCAUUUCAACCCUCAAGCCCCCGGGCUUGGUGUUGGGGAUCGGCGAGCCUCCGCGCCCGCCGUCCCCUAAAUCUAGUGGCGGUCACGCUGUAGCUUCCUCUGCGUAGUAGCACACCUCGCACUGGGAAACAGCGCGGCCACGCCGUUAAACCCCCAACUUCUGAACGUUUGACCUCGGAUCAGGUAGGAAUACCCGCUGAACUUAAGCAUAUCAAUAAGCGGAGGA
RNAcentral lists this unclassified non-coding RNA (343 nucleotides) under soil metagenome. RNAcentral describes it as "partial contains 5.8S ribosomal RNA, internal transcribed spacer 2, and large subunit ribosomal RNA". The stretch from base 1 to 120 matches the Rfam family "5.8S ribosomal RNA", at positions 35 to 154 of the family's 154-position model. The record is from RNAcentral.